This 74-nucleotide transfer RNA is filed under the name Spirochaetae bacterium HGW-Spirochaetae-8. RNAcentral describes it as "tRNA-Arg". It matches the Rfam family "tRNA". Rfam says of the family: Transfer RNA (tRNA) molecules are approximately 80 nucleotides in length. Their secondary structure includes four short double-helical elements and three loops (D, anti-codon, and T loops). Further hydrogen bonds mediate the characteristic L-shaped molecular structure. tRNAs have two regions of fundamental functional importance: the anti-codon, which is responsible for specific mRNA codon recognition, and the 3' end, to which the tRNAs corresponding amino acid is attached (by aminoacyl-tRNA synthetases). tRNAs cope with the degeneracy of the genetic code in two manners: having more than one tRNA (with a specific anti-codon) for a particular amino acid; and 'wobble' base-pairing, i.e. permitting non-standard base-pairing at the 3rd anti-codon position. The record is from RNAcentral. Lineage: Bacteria; Pseudomonadati; Spirochaetota.
GCGCCAAUAGCUCAGUUGGAUAGAGCAACGGCCUUCUAAGCCGUAGGUCGCGGGUUCGAAUCCCUCUUGGCGUA